ACGUAAACUGUCUGUCGACAAAUUAAUAGUAAUUUAACGUGUUACAAUGUUAUGGCUAUUAACUAUUGACCAAUAGGCAAUAAUGGUCUGUUCUACAAAUUAGUUUACGCCACCGUCACAGCCACAUGGUCUAGGGUUCAACGAGGGAGCGAUACGUUCCUAUAUGAUACACACCACAUAUUUUAAUAUCAUUGUGUUUUUUUUCAGGCAAUAUAAAAUUGUUAGAUAUCUAGUUUAAUAAUCGGGGUUUAAUAUUGACAAGGAAAAAUAUUCAAACAUAUCAAAUAAAAUAUGUAUUAAGAAAUUAAACAUUUUUUAAAGCCUGGGGGGGGCUAAGGCUCCAGUGCCCCCCCCUUCAAGCCGAGCCUGAUUGAUAGUGAAAGAACAAAACAGAUUGAAGAAAAUUGAAAGCGUUUAAUUCCAAUCAUAGAAUGUCUUAUAUUAUGAGGCCAACAGGAAAUAGAUUUAAGAGGACAUAGAGAUUAUGGUCUUAUUUGUUUCAGCAGUAUGUAUCUCAUCAAAAACAUAUAUGUAAAAUGAGAGCCAAGUUCAAUUUUAUAAUAUAUGCCUUAGUUGUUGACUUCAACGACAAAAGAAAGUCGUCUCAAUGGCUUAGCCACUAUGGGUGUUUGUUCAUCGUGGGGUUGUCAAUAUAAUUACAGACGGAGUACUGGAUGAAUUGGCAAAAAAAAAAAAAACAGAAAAAUAGAUUUAAUAAUAUAAUUAAAAAAAGGCAAUAUUAAUUUUCAUGUUUAAAAAUGUAGAUUUUUAUAGUGUUUGUUAAAAAAUUAGUUAGGUACAUCCCUCCCCAUGACAAAAUUAUUUGAUCGCUAAUGGUCUAUUGUAUUUACAAUUUGUUAUUACAUUUAAUUUAAUUUAAUAUAUUUAAAUAACUCCCUACACUACCACAAGCUUGCUUAAAGGUGAUACAUAAAUGUGUUAUAUUAUUUAUUGUAUACUUUUUUAUUAUAUGAAUGAUGUAUCAGAAGACAGAAAUAAACAAACAAAAAAAAGUAUUAUUAAAAACAAUAAAAUAGAAAUUUAGAAUUUAAUUUAAAUACUCGAUUAAAUUAUGUUAUUUCGACUAUCAUGUUUGAAUGUCUGAUGUCAUUGGUAACAUUACAACUCAUGACUGCAGUAUGUGUUUUACUAUUAGAUUUCGCUCUACCCAUUUUUAUCACUUUAUAUUCUAUAGCUAUAUUUCGAUUUUAAGCAAUAUUACAUUUUCAUUAUAAGUGGACGAUGUGAAAGUGAUAAGAGUUGAUGACAAACAUAAAUCCUUACAAACAAGUAACAUAUUAUUUAACAUUAUCAUCUCAUUAUUUGUUUCAUAGUAUAAAAAUAAUUAGAAAAAAUUAAAAUAAAAUAAAUAAAUACUAAAAUGUCUCUCAUAAAUGCGUUAAAUGUGUCACUUUUAUUCAAACCUCUCCGGAACGUUUCAAUGAAAUACCUGUAAUAGUUAUUAUAUUUAUAUAGGUAAUCUAUUAUGUUAUACCUUGGAAGUUGGAUGUAAGUUUGGAGUUAUACCACACAUACUUUUCACAAUUUUUAGUCUAUAAGCGCCACGAACUUUCAAUCCUUUGGGUACCUAUGUGCCUAAUCUUUAUUACCAUUAAGUCACGAUAAUAAAGAAAUAAAUUGGGUAUAGCAAAGUAAUUAAAUUAAAUAGCAAAUAUUUUAUUACUUUAGUAAAAACAAUU
Molecule: long non-coding RNA, 1700 nt
Organism: Aphis gossypii (cotton aphid)
Lineage: Eukaryota; Metazoa; Arthropoda; Insecta; Hemiptera; Aphididae
Exons: 3
Source: RefSeq, a predicted model, not a curated record